Tachysurus vachellii is the source of this 1303-nucleotide long non-coding RNA. RefSeq lists it as uncharacterized. Lineage: Eukaryota; Metazoa; Chordata; Actinopteri; Siluriformes; Bagridae. The record is from RefSeq and is a predicted model, not a curated record. The transcript is spliced from 3 exons.
GACUUGUUCCAUGACAUCCCAGGUAGGGAGACUCGGGCAUAUUUCUACACAAAUUUUAAACUUCUUUUCAAGCACGCCGCAGCCCUGUCCACAUGCCUUACACGCGCUUUACCAAUGAGCUUUCCGACCUCGUGUUUACAGAGACUUUCCUCUGCGACACACGGCUUGUAAAAGGACCUCGGAUUUGUGAGCAGAACUUCGAACAGGGAGAUUUUCUUUUCUUUUCUUUAUUCUCUUUUUUCUUGGAGAGGUUUAACAUGAAGUCCGGGAGAACUUUUGGAGGACCAACUGCCCGGAUCGACUUGAAAGAAAUCGCACCUGAUAACGGACAGCGAUUCAUUCACAUUUAUUAAUUAGUUUUUUACACUACAACCAGGACUAAACCUUCGUUUCGUCAAGGAGGAAAAAUCUGACACAGUGUCCGAAUAUUAUAUUUCAGUGCAGAGCCGAUCCUGGCCUCCCUGGGGCCCUAAGCAAAAUUCUGCUAAGGGGCCCUCCUACUGUACCUGACCUGUGAGCCAUGUAAACCAUUUGCCACACAUUCACAGUUGACACCCCAUUGCUCCCACUACAAACCUCCCUCCUUUUAAAAAAGGUUUGCUCCAUCUCUCGGUCAAAGAGGAAAACAAUACAGAAUUGAAUGAGGGUCUGUGUUAGUACUCACUGAAGAAGUCUGUCCUGGGUCUGUGUUAAUAUUUGGUGAAGCUGGCUGUACUGGGUCUAUCCUAAUGCUGCAUGAAGAUGGCUGUACUGAGUCUGUGCUAGUAUUUGGUGAAGCUGGCUGUACUGGGUCUGUGCUAGUACUCACUGAGGCUGGAAGUGAAUGAACUGAGCCUGUGCUUGUACUGGCUGUUGAUCCAGCAUCUUCUCUACUAACAAACUGGAGCAUAGCACCUGAAAGUGGAAUGGAAGUGCACUUUAAAGACCUCACAGGGAUACCACUUAAAGAGACCUUCCUGAACAGCAUUGACAGAAAAGGAAACAGGCUGUUGAACUUCAUGAGGAAUGUUUGUGCAACCAAGAAGAAGCAUGUUUUACAGGCUAUUACAAAAUGACAAGUUUUGAGAGGACAGAAAAAUGGUUGCUCUGAGGAUCUGAGGAUUACUUCUCUCCUAUUUUGAUGAGAAAGAGGAGCUCCUUCUUCAUUAUGUAGAAGAGACAAGCCUCGCAAAGGAGUUGGAAAACCUGCCUGUGACACCUUGUAUUAUUGUGUCUGGUAAGUAUAAGUUUUUACAUAAUUUCCACAACACAGACUAAAAACUCAGUUUACAAUAAUAGUCCAGUUCAAAAGUUUAGAUACCCU